RNAcentral lists this ribosomal RNA (306 nucleotides) under Triticum aestivum (bread wheat). RNAcentral's name for it is "partial small subunit ribosomal RNA". The record is from RNAcentral. Lineage: Eukaryota; Viridiplantae; Streptophyta; Magnoliopsida; Poales; Poaceae.
AGCAAGCGCACGAAGGCGUACACGGCGGCCGAGGACAAGCUUCUUUGCGAGUGUUGGCGAGACAUUGGACAAGACCCCAAGACGGGCGCCGAGCAAAAGCAUUCAACCUUUUGGAUUCGUGUCCACCGAGAGUUUCAUGAGCGCAAGAAGUUUCCGCCUUACCAAUUUGUGAGCACGCGCGGGUGGGUCUCCAUUUCCAAGCGGUGGAGGGUGAUCCAACAAGAGUGCAACAAGUUUUGCGCCACUCUUGAGAGCGUCAAGACCCGCCCCGUGAGAGGCAUCGGCAUGCAAGACAUGGUAUGCUAG